AUACAUGCAAGUCGAGCGGACAGAAGGGAGCUUGCUCCCGGAUGUUAGCGGCGGACGGGUGAGUAACACGUGGGUAACCUGCCUGUAAGACUGGGAUAACUCCGGGAAACCGGAGCUAAUACCGGAUAGUUCCUUGAACCGCAUGGUUCAAGGAUGAAAGACGGUUUCGGCUGUCACUUACAGAUGGACCCGCGGCGCAUUAGCUAGUUGGUGGGGUAAUGGCUCACCAAGGCGACGAUGCGUAGCCGACCUGAGAGGGUGAUCGGCCACACUGGGACUGAGACACGGCCCAGACUCCUACGGGAGGCAGCAGUAGGGAAUCUUCCGCAAUGGACGAAAGUCUGACGGAGCAACGCCGCGUGAGUGAUGAAGGUUUUCGGAUCGUAAAGCUCUGUUGUUAGGGAAGAACAAGUGCGAGAGUAACUGCUCGCACCUUGACGGUACCUAACCAGAAAGCCACGGCUAACUACGUGCCAGCAGCCGCGGUAAUACGUAGGUGGCAAGCGUUGUCCGGAAUUAUUGGGCGUAAAGGGCUCGCAGGCGGUUUCUUAAGUCUGAUGUGAAAGCCCCCGGCUCAACCGGGGAGGGUCAUUGGAAACUGGGAAACUUGAGUGCAGAAGAGGAGAGUGGAAUUCCACGUGUAGCGGUGAAAUGCGUAGAGAUGUGGAGGAACACCAGUGGCGAAGGCGACUCUCUGGUCUGUAACUGACGCUGAGGAGCGAAAGCGUGGGGAGCGAACAGGA
This 743-nucleotide ribosomal RNA is filed under the name bacterium xpnta616lb555on10.8. RNAcentral describes it as "bacterial SSU rRNA". It matches the Rfam family "Bacterial small subunit ribosomal RNA", at positions 51 to 777 of the family's 1533-position model. The record is from RNAcentral.